RNAcentral lists this ribosomal RNA (430 nucleotides) under marine sediment bacterium BB0608_AND_4.2_1S0. Its description in RNAcentral is "bacterial SSU rRNA". It matches the Rfam family "Bacterial small subunit ribosomal RNA", at positions 115 to 541 of the family's 1533-position model. The record is from RNAcentral.
GCAUAGGAAACUGCCCAGUAGUGGGGGAUAGCCCGGGGAAACCCGGAUUAAUACCGCAUACGUCCUUCGGGAGAAAGCAGGGGAUCUUCGGACCUUGCGCUAUUGGAUGUGCCUAUGUCGGAUUAGCUGGUUGGUGAGGUAAUGGCUCACCAAGGCGACGAUCCGUAGCUGGUCUGAGAGGAUGAUCAGCCACAUCGGGACUGAGACACGGCCCGAACUCCUACGGGAGGCAGCAGUGGGGAAUAUUGGACAAUGGGGGCAACCCUGAUCCAGCCAUGCCGCGUGUGUGAAGAAGGCUUUCGGGUUGUAAAGCACUUUCAGUGAGGAGGAAAAGUUAGUCCUUAAUACGGGCUAGCCUUGACGUUACUCACAGAAGAAGCACCGGCUAACUCCGUGCCAGCAGCCGCGGUAAUACGGAGGGUGCAAGCGU